GUUACUACCUCGACGCUCAGCAAGUCAGAAGCUUCUGAUUGCAUCUUGCAAUUUCACAAGAUUGGGCAGAUCUUUAUAUUUAUCCUUCUCCUCAAAAUGAAGGUGAAAUUAUGAGAGUAGCUACUUGUGAAGCAUGUAGGAGGAUUCGAAUUGAGAGUUGUAGAGGAAAUAUGAGAGAUACGUUUCAACUCAAACUCGUUGUGACAAUGGCUCUAGUAAUUUUGCAGCUAGCUUUGGUGACUGCUGCUCCUAAUAAUUUAUAUACUCCUCCUGCUCUUGGAAGGUGAUAAUAUCUCCUUACUACGAUACACCGUGAUUAUCCUUGAAAUUAUGAUUCAAUGAAAGAAUGAUGUUGUUUCAAGACUAUUAAAACAGUUUGUGCAUAAUAAA
Long non-coding RNA from Nilaparvata lugens (brown planthopper), 390 nucleotides. RefSeq lists it as uncharacterized. The record is from RefSeq and is a predicted model, not a curated record. The transcript is spliced from 3 exons. NCBI's taxonomy places the organism in Eukaryota, Metazoa, Arthropoda, Insecta, Hemiptera, Delphacidae.